UAAAAAAAUGGUUUUUGUGAAACCCCUUUCCUUUAAUGUGCUUUUAGAAACGGGUUUCUGCAUUUGGAACACCUUGAAAACCAUGUUUUCACUUUCGAAAGGAUGGUCUUUGUUUGGAUGACAAAGAAUGAGUUUUAGAAAAUGCCUUCGAAGAUUGAUUCAUAUAAUUAACAGUUAGUUAAUUUAAACUGCAAGGUCGUUUCAAUGUGUGAGAAAGAGAAUUUUUCAACAUUACUAAAGUACUCCAACAAGGUGUUGGACCAGUACAAAAAAAAAAACUCACAGGGUAUAUACCGUAUGGUUCAACCAUGAAAAAGGUAUACGGCAUACUAAUGUUUUGCGGAGUUGAGAGAGAGAGAGAGAUGCGACUUAUGUCGACAUCAUGGUGAACGGUGCUGUCCACAAGGGCAUCCCCCGCAAGUCGAGAUCAACAGGCAGGUUCCCCGGCCUCCUCUCCCUCUUCUUUGCUUUUCUUAUGUCUUCUCUGGGUGUCUCGGUUUGUUGUCUUCUUCCCGCCACGAUUUGCUUUCACAGGCAUAUCUACUUUCUCUCUAACCUACAAGUCCACGGAUGCUGGUUUUUGCUCCUUUAUCCCCACUAGCUGCCUAGGGACCUUUGGGCUUAUUAGAUCUUCAUGAAGGCGUUACUAGGAAUGUUUUUCCUUGUGUGGAUUAUAAUCUAUCAAAUUUCUGAGAAGUCAGGGAGGAUGUGGGUUAAUUAAGGGUCCCAGCAGCAAAGGCACCUACUUGGGAUCAGCUGAUACAAAUGUGCUGUUCUUAUUUGCAGAUUAUUGAUAUACUCAGGUAAUUUAACCAACUUGUGGUAUGUUAGGUUCCAUCAGUUACUCCAGUCUCCAAAUGUUCAUUUGGAAGAUCACGUUGGGGGAUGGUGAGGUUAUCUCAGCAAUAAUAAUUUUCUUCAUAGCAUUCGAUCUGGUGUCUUGGACAUCUAAAUACGGAAACAGGAUUUGCUUGACUAUUCGCUGGAGAACUGCUGGUGAUUUGCCUUCCGUUUAUAUGGAUAAUAGAUGGAGCUGCCAUCUUAUGGUUAUAGUUGUUGAUGACCUUGGACGAAAGAUGAAUUACCUGGUGUUCUUUGGAUGCAACAUGCAGAAAGCACAUAGUUUUGUGUUACAGGAUAAUGCAUGUUGAUACUCAGAUUAUUUGCUGAAAGGAGAAUGUGAUCAGAAUGAAGUUAAUCUGGUUCUGUUUCUGCUGCUAAUUAGGUCGUUGAUAUUUUGAUCAAGCUAUUGCGUUUCAGUUCAGGAACGAUGUAGAAUCAAUGGUUUCACAAAACUAAGUAGCUCAUAUUCACGUAAACUGUGAUUCUUACGACCUUUUCUUACGACCUUCACAACUGCAUAAGAGAGAAAGAGAAGGCUACGCUUAUUAUCAUCUAGGACCUUAGACGCGGGUCGUUCAAAGAUGAAAUGCCAUUUGAGAAUGCUUGUGCCAUUGCUUAAGGCGUCUAGCCUUGUCUAGUGACUCAAUAGCGUAGGCAUUUUUCUAUUUUUCUCCUACCGGCCUAGUUUGUUUCUUUUUCAGUUUUUCUCCUUUUUCUCUUUUCCUUCUCCUUUCUCGCUGUAUGAGAGUUUUUUUUUUUUUCAUUUUUUCUUCAGACGUUCUUAUGCAGAUUGUAUUGGAAGCAUGGAUGUAUGCAGAUUGUAUAGAUAGUAUGGAUGUGUGCAUGUACACAUUUAUGACUUUAUGUACUUAUAACUUUUUCAUAGUUAUAGUUUGUAAACGGUUAUACUUUGAAUAGGUUUUAUCUUUUAUGCUUAUAGGUUUCUUAACUGCUUUGUGCAUAAUAUAUAUGUUGUCUUCCUAGCACUUUAUCUUGCUUAUUAGAUUAUUAUACAAGACUGUUUUAAGAACAAGGUUAACAUUGGAGCUGCGGUUAUGUUGAGGAUUUAUGAUCUCUCCUUUUUAAGAAAAAUUUAAAUGAGUAGUUUGGUAUUCGUUUAGACUUUUAGAUUUGGAAGGGAAAAUGCAGCAUUUAGUAAUUGGUACUUGGGAAAUUAGAAGAUUUUGCAUGCUCUAAAGUAUCCAAAGCAGUGAUGUUAUGCUAAACAACUUUUAAGCAUCAUUUUUUAAUUUCAUUAUAUUCGCUGUUUCAAACUUAUACUUGUGUUUGUAACUUUAUUAUCAUGUCAUGAAAUGCUUAUUUUGAGUGCGAUCAUUCAUUUUAAUUGCUUUGUAUUAUAAGUUCAUUGAAGAAAUGCUUCAAGUUUUGUUGUUAAUUGGAAUACUAAUAUUGCUUUCUAUUAGUUAAAACUGCUUAACGUGCACAACUGCUUAACGUGCCUAGUCUCGCCUAGGCUCUUUGCUUAGCUUGCAGGCUGGGCUGCAACUGGCGUUUUAGAGCAGCUCUUAACCAGGUAUACGCUUGAUGAAAUUUACGUGUAAUUCUAUAUAUUAGAAUAAGAAUGGAGCAUCCGGGUGACGAAAGUCUCAGUCUUCUCAAAUAUAACUGAAGUCGUUAUGCUACUGCCAAAGCGGGAUUUGUUGGUGUAUUAGGCUAGGAACAGUAUCAUCUCCGGAAUGCAGGUCCUCGUGGAUCAUGUUCUCAGCCGUCAAGGUGCAGGGAAGAGUUUGAUCCGGAAUGACAAUUUGAAGGCAGGGGCGAAGUUUCGCUGCGAGAAAAUGAGAACCAUACGACAGCCUGAGGGACCAAGGUCUGGGUUGUGGUUGGGAGAGCAAAAUUGGAGACCGUGACGCCAAUCCCAUAUAUAUGAUGUCGUCAAUGAUCUCGAGCGCGGAUACGGAUAAUUCUUCUUCCGUAAGAUUUGAGUGCUCGGUUGCUCUUCCCUUCUAACAAUCUCCGAUUUUUGUAUGUGAUUUCAGAAUGAUCUUGUUUAAGUUCCAUGAUCCUGUAUUGGCUCUGGCUAUGAAUUCCUUUGUCUUCAUUGUAAGUUGGAGGGACAUCCAUAAUACUUUCUUGAUUAUGUUGAUUUU
Nymphaea colorata (pocket water lily) is the source of this 2954-nucleotide long non-coding RNA. RefSeq lists it as uncharacterized. Lineage: Eukaryota; Viridiplantae; Streptophyta; Magnoliopsida; Nymphaeales; Nymphaeaceae. The record is from RefSeq and is a predicted model, not a curated record. The transcript is spliced from 2 exons.